GUCACAAAGGCCUGGGUACAGCCAGGGAGGUCACAAUGGGCUGGGGCAGAAGCAAGGCUAGUGGUCCAUUCCUGUCUCAGUCCUGUUCUCACUGUCUCCAAAGCCCCUGCAACUACGUGUUCCCUCUGUGUGUGGAGGAAUGUUCAUGGUGCCUGUUCAAUCUCAGAAGGCUGACUCUAGGGAAAACUGCCCUGGGAGAGAUCAAGUGUGACAACAAUGACCACCCAAGUGCGUGUCCCUGUCAGGAUCCGGCUGACUAAAGGUGGAUGGACUCUAGCACGUGUGUACCCCGUGAAGUGGUUCUGUAGUAGCCCCUUGCUCCAGCAUGGUUCCCGUGGCUGGAAGUAGACAGGCUGUACACUGCUGUCUGACCACGAGACUCCUUCAGAGCCUCCAGGGCUUUUGACUUCGGCUGUCAUCCUACCACAGGGCAUGGGGACACAAAGCCACCUCCAGGUAAGCAGGGAGAGGCCCUUGGGUUUGGAUCAGGGUCUGGGGAAGGAAGACAGGUCUGUCCUUCUACAUAGAGACACAGGGACACAGGCACUCUCACUGACCCUCCCUUCCCACCAACCCGGGGCAGAUGCUGUCACCAUCCACUUCACAGGCUCGGAAGGGUUUAUCUGGGGUCAUAGUGCAGAUGAGCAAGAGUGAGUUGCUAUGGGCAUCGUUGAGGGCACAUGCCUUGUCAUUAAAGGAUGUAAGGGGAACGCACUCUAGGGGUGCUGGGCAAAGCCACUCCACACUGCUGCUUCUGCCAGGCCCUGCAAAAGGUGUGUGUGUGUGUGUGUGUGUGUGUGUGUGUGUGUGUGUGAGUUUUGUGUGUGUUUUGUGUGUAUGGUGUGUUGUGUGUAUGUGUGUGUGUCUCUGUGUGUGUUUUGUGUGUGUAUGUGUGUGGUGUGUGUAUAUGUGUCUGUGUGUGUGUGUGA
Long non-coding RNA from Peromyscus eremicus (cactus mouse), 929 nucleotides. RefSeq lists it as uncharacterized. The transcript is spliced from 3 exons. The record is from RefSeq and is a predicted model, not a curated record. Lineage: Eukaryota; Metazoa; Chordata; Mammalia; Rodentia; Cricetidae.